This 436-nucleotide ribosomal RNA is filed under the name uncultured bacterium. Its description in RNAcentral is "partial 16S ribosomal RNA". It matches the Rfam family "Bacterial small subunit ribosomal RNA", at positions 30 to 507 of the family's 1533-position model. The record is from RNAcentral.
GCGAACGCUGGCGGCAUGCUUAACCCAUGCAAGUCGCGCGGGUGGUUUCGGCCAUCAGCGGCGGACGGGUGAGUAUCGCGUAGGAAUGUAUCCCGAGGUGGGGGACAACCCUGGGAAACUGGGGCUAAUACCGCAUGGGGCCUGUGGGUCAAAGCCUUAGGGCGCCUUGGGAGCAGCCUGCGUCCGAUUAGGUAGUUGGUGGGGUAAAGGCCUACCAAGCCUGCGAUCGGUAGCUGGUCUGAGAGGACGAUCAGCCAUACUGGGACUGAGACACGGCCCAGACUCCUACGGGAGGCAGCAGUGGGGAAUAUUGGACAAUGGGCGCAAGCCUGAUCCAGCAAUGCCGCGUGGGUGAAGAAGGUCUUCGGAUUGUAAAGCCCUUUCGGCGGGGACGAUGAUGACGGUACCCGCAGAAGAAGCCCCGGCUAACUUCGUG